Bombus huntii is the source of this 821-nucleotide long non-coding RNA. RefSeq lists it as uncharacterized. The record is from RefSeq and is a predicted model, not a curated record. Lineage: Eukaryota; Metazoa; Arthropoda; Insecta; Hymenoptera; Apidae. The transcript has 4 exons.
UAUAAGGCUCAUAAAGUUCGAAAUAACCAGGAAGGAAUUCAUUAGGAGAAGAUUGAAAAGAAUAACGGAAGUUGGAAUGUAUUGGACCAUAAGAAGUGAUUUCGGAGAUAGCAAACAACGAUACGCGUCGUGGAAGAUAGUAAUAUACGGUCUGUCGAUACGUCGAUCGAGAUAACCGGAUACCCGAUAAAUUUGGCGACGAUAAUUCGCGUAUCUCUACUUUUAUCAGUUUCGAUGUCGUACCGUAAGCGGAUAUCGUAAAUUCGUGAAGUUUCCGGAUCACAAAGACAGCACUCUUCAGCCAGCGCCCCCUUCUCGUUACCCGUGCAGCAAGGAACGCACUGACUAUUCAACUUAUCCAGAUGCAAUGGUGGCGAACAGGCUGCGCAACUAAAUUUUCCUGGACCAGUACAUCUUCGACAAUCGGAAUGGCAAUUUUUACAGAGUUGCGUCAGGGGAUCGUAGUAUUGCGCUCCAAGACAUUCCAUACAGAGGCCACCCUCUAGCAUCGAAUGGGGUACGACAGUAAUGGUGACACUUCUGGCAGCCAAAGUUAGAUUUGAAGAAUCCUUCGGGACACUCCGGAUGACACUCGCCCGCUGCUAGUUGCCAACCACGAGGGCAGGUCACGCAUUGAUCUCUUCUGGGUCCGGAACACGUUUUGCACGACAGGUUGGAUAGAAGAUCAUCUCUCAGUUGCUAAUUCCUUAUCCAAAAACUAAUAUAUAACAAAAUAAAAACUCAACGAAUAGACAAGAAACGAAAGGUAAAAGAAAAAAAGGAAAAAUAUUUGAUUUUUCUAAAGCAAACUUACCCCUGAG